RNAcentral lists this ribosomal RNA (301 nucleotides) under uncultured bacterium. RNAcentral describes it as "partial 16S ribosomal RNA". It matches the Rfam family "Bacterial small subunit ribosomal RNA", at positions 509 to 809 of the family's 1533-position model. The record is from RNAcentral.
CAGUCGCCGCGGUAAUACGUAGGUGGCGAGCGUUGUCCGGAAUCAUUGGGCGUAAAGGGAGCGCAGGCGGGCAUAUAAGUCUUUCUUAAAAGUUCGGGGCUCAACCCCGUGAUGGGAAAGAAACUAUAUGUCUUGAGUACAGGAGAGGAAAGCGGAAUUCCCAGUGUAGCGGUGAAAUGCGUAGAUAUUGGGAGGAACACCAGUGGCGAAGGCGGCUUUCUGGACUGCAACUGACGCUGAGGCUCGAAAGCCAGGGGAGCGAACGGGAUUAGAUACCCGCGUAGUCCCUGUCUCUUAUACA